CGUAGGGUGCGAGCGUUAAUCGGAAUUACUGGGCGUAAAGCGUGCGCAGGCGGUUUUGUAAGACAGAUGUGAAAUCCCCGGGCUCAACCUGGGACCUGCAUUUGUGACUGCAAGGCUAGAGUACGGUAGAGGGGGAUGGAAUUCCGCGUGUAGCAGUGAAAUGCGUAGAUAUGCGGAGGAACACCGAUGGCGAAGGCAAUCCCCUGGACCUGUACUGACGCUCAUGCACGAAAGCGUGGGGAGCAAACAGGAUUAGAUACCCUGGUAGUCCACGCCCUAAACGAUGUCAACUGGUUGUUGGGUCAUUACUGACUCAGUAACGAAGCUAACGCGUGAAGUUGACCGCCUGGGGAGUACGGCCGCAAGGUUG
Molecule: ribosomal RNA, 370 nt
Filed under: uncultured organism
Description: bacterial SSU rRNA
Rfam family: Bacterial small subunit ribosomal RNA
Source: RNAcentral